CAGAAGUCGCUCACUUGGAAGAUCAGCUUUGGGUCUGAGGUGGGGAGUACCUCCCUACUUCCUG
This 64-nucleotide transfer RNA is filed under the name Mus terricolor (Earth-colored mouse). RNAcentral's name for it is "tRNA-Pro". Lineage: Eukaryota; Metazoa; Chordata; Mammalia; Rodentia; Muridae. The record is from RNAcentral.